RNAcentral lists this ribosomal RNA (949 nucleotides) under uncultured bacterium. Its description in RNAcentral is "bacterial SSU rRNA". It matches the Rfam family "Bacterial small subunit ribosomal RNA", at positions 8 to 933 of the family's 1533-position model. The record is from RNAcentral.
AGAGUUUGAUCAUGGCUCAGAAUCAACGCUGGCGGCGUGCCCCAGACAUGCAAGUCGAACGCGAAAGCUCCCUUCGGGGAGCAAGUAGAGUGGCGCACGGGUGAGUAACACGUAGGUAAUCUACCUUUGGAUGGGGAAUAACAACCGGAAACGGUUGCUAAUACCGCAUAAUGCAGCGGCACCUAAUGGUGACAGUUGUUAAAGCGGGGGAUCGCAAGACCUCGCGUCUGAAGAGGAGCCUGCGGCAGAUUAGCUAGUUGGUAAGGUAACGGCUUACCAAGGCGAUGAUCUGUAGCCGGCCUGAGAGGGCGGUCGGCCACACUGACACUGACAUACGGGUCAGACUCCUACGGGAGGCAGCAGUCGGGAAUUUUGGGCAAUGGGCGAAAGCCUGACCCAGCAACGCCGCGUGAAGGAUGAAAUCCCUCGGGAUGUAAACUUCGCAAGAACGGGAAGAAUAAGUAAGGGUUAAUAUCUCUUACGAUGACGGUACUGUUUGUAAGCUCCGGCUAACUCCGUGCCAGCAGCCGCGGUAAUACGGGGGGAGCAAGCGUUGUUCGGAUUUACUGGGCGUAAAGGGCGCGUAGGCGGCCACCGCAAGUCGACUGUGAAAUCUCCGGGCUUAACCCGGAAAGGUCAGCCGAUACUGCGGGGCUAGAGUGCAGAAGGGGCAACUGGAAUUCUCGGUGUAGCGGUGAAAUGCGUAGAUAUCGAGAGGAACACCUGCGGCGAAAGCGGGUUGCUGGGCUGACACUGACGCUGAUGCGCGAAAGCUAGGGGAGCGAACGGGAUUAGAUACCCCGGUAGUCCUAGCCUUAAACGAUGAAUGCUUGGUGUCUGGGGUUUUAUAGUCCCCGGGUGCCGUCGCUAACGCUUUAAGCAUUCCGCCUGGGGAGUACGGUCGCAAGACUGAAACUCAAAGGAAUUGACGGGGACCCGCACAAGCGUG